Molecule: ribosomal RNA, 247 nt
Filed under: uncultured bacterium
Lineage: Bacteria
Description: partial small subunit ribosomal RNA
Rfam family: Bacterial small subunit ribosomal RNA
Source: RNAcentral
AGAAUCAACGCUGGCGGCGUGCCUAACACAUGCAAGUCGCACGAGAAAGGGGAGCAAUCCCUGAGUACAGUGGCGCACGGGUGAGUAACACGUGAAUCAUCUACCUCCGAGUGGGGAAUAACUGAGAGAAAUCUUAGCUAAUACCGCAUAACACUUACGAGUCAAAGCAGCAAUGCGCUUGGAGAGGAGUUCGCGGCAGAUUUAGUUAGGUUGGGCGGGUAAUGGCCCACCAAGACGAUGAUCUGUA